RNAcentral lists this ribosomal RNA (264 nucleotides) under uncultured archaeon. Its description in RNAcentral is "partial 16S ribosomal RNA". It matches the Rfam family "Archaeal small subunit ribosomal RNA", at positions 717 to 982 of the family's 1478-position model. The record is from RNAcentral.
ACACGACUACAUUAGAUACCCGGGUAGUCCUAGCCGUAAACGAUACUCGCUAGGUGUCGGCCACGGUGCGACCGUUGUCGGUGCCGUAGGGAAGCCGUGAAGCGAGCCGCCUGGGAAGUACGGUCGCAAGGCUGAAACUUAAAGGAAUUGGCGGGGAGCACCACAACGGGUGGAGCCUGCGGUUUAAUUGGACUCAACGCCGGGAAGCUCACCGGAUAAGACAGCGGAAUGAUUGCCGGGCUGAAGACCCUGCAUGACCAGCUG